This 1803-nucleotide ribosomal RNA is filed under the name Listeria monocytogenes. RNAcentral describes it as "partial 23S ribosomal RNA". It matches the Rfam family "Bacterial large subunit ribosomal RNA", at positions 1 to 1794 of the family's 2925-position model. Lineage: Bacteria; Bacillati; Bacillota; Bacilli; Caryophanales; Listeriaceae. The record is from RNAcentral.
UUGGUUAAGUUAGAAAGGGCGCACGGUGGAUGCCUUGGCACUAGGAGCCGAAGAAGGACGGGACUAACACCGAUAUGCUUUGGGGAGCUGUACGUAAGCGUUGAUCCAGAGAUUUCCGAAUGGGGGAACCCACUAUCUUUAGUCGGAUAGUAUCCUUACGUGAAUACAUAGCGUGAGGAAGGCAGACCCAGGGAACUGAAACAUCUAAGUACCUGGAGGAAGAGAAAGAAAAAUCGAUUUCCUGAGUAGCGGCGAGCGAAACGGAAAGAGCCCAAACCAAGAAGCUUGCUUCUUGGGGUUGUAGGACACUCUAUACGGAGUUACAAAAGAAAGUUAUAAAUGAAGCGGUCUGGAAAGGCCCGCCAAAGACGGUAACAGCCCGGUAGUUGAAAUGGCUUUCCCUCCAGAGUGGAUCCUGAGUACGGCGGAACACGUGAAAUUCCGUCGGAAUCCGGGAGGACCAUCUCCCAAGGCUAAAUACUCCCUAGUGACCGAUAGUGAACCAGUACCGUGAGGGAAAGGUGAAAAGCACCCCGGAAGGGGAGUGAAACAGUUCCUGAAACCGUGUGCCUACAAGUAGUUAGAGCCCGUUAAUGGGUGAUAGCGUGCCUUUUGUAGAAUGAACCGGCGAGUUACGAUUUGUUGCAAGGUUAAGCGGAAAAAGCGGAGCCGUAGCGAAAGCGAGUCUGAAUAGGGCGCAUAAGUAACAGGUCGUAGACCCGAAACCAGGUGAUCUACCCAUGUCCAGGAUGAAGGUAAGGUAAUACUUACUGGAGGUCCGAACCCACGCACGUUGAAAAGUGCGGGGAUGAGGUGUGGGUAGCGGAGAAAUUCCAAUCGAACUUGGAGAUAGCUGGUUCUCUCCGAAAUAGCUUUAGGGCUAGCCUCGAGGUAAAGAGUCAUGGAGGUAGAGCACUGUUUGGACUAGGGGCCCUUCUCGGGUUACCGAAUUCAGAUAAACUCCGAAUGCCAUGUACUUAUACUCGGGAGUCAGACUGCGAGUGAUAAGAUCCGUAGUCGAAAGGGAAACAGCCCAGACCACCAGUUAAGGUCCCCAAAUAUAUGUUAAGUGGAAAAGGAUGUGGGGUUGCUUAGACAACCAGGAUGUUGGCUUAGAAGCAGCCACCAUUGAAAGAGUGCGUAAUAGCUCACUGGUCGAGUGACCCCGCGCCGAAAAUGUACCGGGGCUAAACAUAUUACCGAAACUGUGGAUGAACCUCUUUAGAGGUUCGUGGUAGGAGAGCGUUCUAAGGGCGGUGAAGUCAGACCGGAAGGACUGGUGGAGCGCUUAGAAGUGAGAAUGCCGGUAUGAGUAGCGAAAGAAGGGUGAGAAUCCCUUCCACCGAAUAUCUAAGGUUUCCUGAGGAAGGCUCGUCCGCUCAGGGUUAGUCGGGACCUAAGCCGAGGCCGAUAGGCGUAGGCGAUGGACAACAGGUAGAGAUUCCUGUACCAGUGCUAAUUGUUUAACCGAUGGGGUGACACAGAAGGAUAGGGAAUCGCACGAAUGGAAAUGUGCGUCCAAGCAGUGAGUGUGAGAAGUAGGCAAAUCCGCUUCUCGCGAAGCAUGAGCUGUGAUGGGGAAGGAAAUUAAGUACGGAAGUUCCUGAUUUCACGCUGUCAAGAAAAGCCUCUAGGAAGAGUAGUACUGCCCGUACCGCAAACCGACACAGGUAGAUGAGGAGAGAAUCCUAAGGUGAGCGAGAGAACUCUCGUUAAGGAACUCGGCAAAAUGACCCCGUAACUUCGGGAGAAGGGGUGCUCUAUUAGGGUGCAAGCCCGAGAGAGCCGCAGUGAAUAGGCCCA